Molecule: ribosomal RNA, 1464 nt
Filed under: Lactiplantibacillus plantarum
Lineage: Bacteria; Bacillati; Bacillota; Bacilli; Lactobacillales; Lactobacillaceae
Description: Lactobacillus plantarum 16S ribosomal RNA
Rfam family: Bacterial small subunit ribosomal RNA
Source: RNAcentral
GCUGGCGGCGUGCCUAAUACAUGCAAGUCGAACGAACUCUGGUAUUGAUUGGUGCUUGCAUCAUGAUUUACAUUUGAGUGAGUGGCGAACUGGUGAGUAACACGUGGGAAACCUGCCCAGAAGCGGGGGAUAACACCUGGAAACAGAUGCUAAUACCGCAUAACAACUUGGACCGCAUGGUCCGAGCUUGAAAGAUGGCUUCGGCUAUCACUUUUGGAUGGUCCCGCGGCGUAUUAGCUAGAUGGUGGGGUAACGGCUCACCAUGGCAAUGAUACGUAGCCGACCUGAGAGGGUAAUCGGCCACAUUGGGACUGAGACACGGCCCAAACUCCUACGGGAGGCAGCAGUAGGGAAUCUUCCACAAUGGACGAAAGUCUGAUGGAGCAACGCCGCGUGAGUGAAGAAGGGUUUCGGCUCGUAAAACUCUGUUGUUAAAGAAGAACAUAUCUGAGAGUAACUGUUCAGGUAUUGACGGUAUUUAACCAGAAAGCCACGGCUAACUACGUGCCAGCAGCCGCGGUAAUACGUAGGUGGCAAGCGUUGUCCGGAUUUAUUGGGCGUAAAGCGAGCGCAGGCGGUUUUUUAAGUCUGAUGUGAAAGCCUUCGGCUCAACCGAAGAAGUGCAUCGGAAACUGGGAAACUUGAGUGCAGAAGAGGACAGUGGAACUCCAUGUGUAGCGGUGAAAUGCGUAGAUAUAUGGAAGAACACCAGUGGCGAAGGCGGCUGUCUGGUCUGUAACUGACGCUGAGGCUCGAAAGUAUGGGUAGCAAACAGGAUUAGAUACCCUGGUAGUCCAUACCGUAAACGAUGAAUGCUAAGUGUUGGAGGGUUUCCGCCCUUCAGUGCUGCAGCUAACGCAUUAAGCAUUCCGCCUGGGGAGUACGGCCGCAAGGCUGAAACUCAAAGGAAUUGACGGGGGCCCGCACAAGCGGUGGAGCAUGUGGUUUAAUUCGAAGCUACGCGAAGAACCUUACCAGGUCUUGACAUACUAUGCAAAUCUAAGAGAUUAGACGUUCCCUUCGGGGACAUGGAUACAGGUGGUGCAUGGUUGUCGUCAGCUCGUGUCGUGAGAUGUUGGGUUAAGUCCCGCAACGAGCGCAACCCUUAUUAUCAGUUGCCAGCAUUAAGUUGGGCACUCUGGUGAGACUGCCGGUGACAAACCGGAGGAAGGUGGGGAUGACGUCAAAUCAUCAUGCCCCUUAUGACCUGGGCUACACACGUGCUACAAUGGAUGGUACAACGAGUUGCGAACUCGCGAGAGUAAGCUAAUCUCUUAAAGCCAUUCUCAGUUCGGAUUGUAGGCUGCAACUCGCCUACAUGAAGUCGGAAUCGCUAGUAAUCGCGGAUCAGCAUGCCGCGGUGAAUACGUUCCCGGGCCUUGACACACCGCCCGUCACACCAUGAGAGUUUGUAACACCCAAAGUCGGUGGGGUAACCUUUUAGGAACCAGCCGCCUAAGGUGG